GGUAGCGUGUCCGAGCGGCCGAAGGAGCGCGACUCGAAAUCGCGUGACGGGUAACCCCCGUCCGUGGGUUCAAAUCCCACCGCUACCG
Molecule: transfer RNA, 88 nt
Filed under: Prauserella shujinwangii
Lineage: Bacteria; Bacillati; Actinomycetota; Actinomycetes; Pseudonocardiales; Pseudonocardiaceae
Also listed under: 1 other name
Description: tRNA-Ser
Rfam family: tRNA
About the family: Transfer RNA (tRNA) molecules are approximately 80 nucleotides in length.
Source: RNAcentral